This 496-nucleotide ribosomal RNA is filed under the name uncultured bacterium. Its description in RNAcentral is "partial 16S ribosomal RNA". It matches the Rfam family "Bacterial small subunit ribosomal RNA", at positions 29 to 507 of the family's 1533-position model. The record is from RNAcentral.
AUGAACGCUGGCGGCGUGCCUAAUACAUGCAAGUCGAGCGAACAGACGAGGAGCUUGCUCCUCUGACGUUAGCGGCGGACGGGUGAGUAACACGUGGAUAACCUACCUAUAAGACUGGGAUAACUUCGGGAAACCGGAGCUAAUACCGGAUAAUAUAUUGAACCGCAUGGUUCAAUAGUGAAAGACGGUUUUGCUGUCACUUAUAGAUGGAUCCGCGCCGCACUAGCUAGUUGGUAAGGUAACGGCUUACCAAGGCAACGAUGCGUAGCCGACCUGAGAGGGUGAUCGGCCACACUGGAACUGAGACACGGUCCAGACUCCUACGGGAGGCAGCAGUAGGGAAUCUUCCGCAAUGGGCGAAAGCCUGACGGAGCAACGCCGCGUGAGUGAUGAAGGUCUUCGGAUCGUAAAACUCUGUUAUUAGGGAAGAACAAAUGUGUAAGUAACUAUGCACGUCUUGACGGUACCUAAUCAGAAAGCCACGGCUAACUACGUG